CAGCAGCCACGGGAAUACGGAGGGAGCUAGCGUUGUUCGGAAUUACUGGGCGUAAAGCGCACGUAGGCGGUUAUUCAAGUCAGAGGUGAAAGCCCAGUGCUCAACACUGGAACUGCCUUUGAAACUAGAUAACUUGAAUCCAGGAGAGGUGAGUGGAAUUCCGAGUGUAGAGGUGAAAUUCGUAGAUAUUCGGAAGAACACCAGUGGCGAAGGCGGCUCACUGGACUGGUAUUGACGCUGAGGUGCGAAAGCGUGGGGAGCAAACAGGAUUAGAUACCCCCGUAGUCCCUGUCUCUUAUAC
RNAcentral lists this ribosomal RNA (301 nucleotides) under uncultured bacterium. RNAcentral describes it as "partial 16S ribosomal RNA". It matches the Rfam family "Bacterial small subunit ribosomal RNA", at positions 509 to 807 of the family's 1533-position model. The record is from RNAcentral.